RNAcentral lists this ribosomal RNA (863 nucleotides) under uncultured cyanobacterium. RNAcentral's name for it is "bacterial SSU rRNA". It matches the Rfam family "Bacterial small subunit ribosomal RNA", at positions 8 to 916 of the family's 1533-position model. The record is from RNAcentral. Lineage: Bacteria; Bacillati; Cyanobacteriota.
AGAGUUUGAUCCUGGCUCAGGAUGAACGCUGGCGGCGUGCUUAACACAUGCAAGUCGAACGAACCUUUCGGGUUAGUGGCGGACGGGUGAGUAACGCGUGAGAAUCUGCCCUCAGGAGGGGGAUAACGGCUGGAAACGGCCGCUAAUACCCCAUAUGCCGAGAGGUGAAAUGAAUUUCGCCUGAGGAUGAGCUCGCGUCUGAUUAGCUAGUUGGUGGGGUAAAGGCCUACCAAGGCGACGAUCAGUAGCUGGUCUGAGAGGAUGAUCAGCCACACUGGGACUGAGACACGGCCCAGACUCCUACGGGAGGCAGCAGUGGGGAAUUUUCCGCAAUGGGCGAAAGCCUGACGGAGCAACGCCGCGUGAGGGAUGAAGGCCUCUGGGCUGUAAACCUCUUUUCUCAAGGAAGAAGAUCUGACGGUACUUGAGGAAUAAGCCACGGCUAAUUCCGUGCCAGCAGCCGCGGUAAUACGGGAGUGGCAAGCGUUAUCCGGAAUUAUUGGGCGUAAAGCGUCCGCAGGCGGCCUUGUAAGUCUGUCGUUAAAGCGUGGAGCUUAACUCCAUUUCAGCGAUGGAAACUACAAGGCUUGAGUGUGGUAGGGGCAGAGGGAAUUCCCGGUGUAGCGGUGAAAUGCGUAGAUAUCGGGAAGAACACCAGUGGCGAAGGCGCUCUGCUGGGCCAUAACUGACGCUCAUGGACGAAAGCCAGGGGAGCGAAAGGGAUUAGAUACCCCUGUAGUCCUGGCCGUAAACGAUGAACACUAGGUGUCGGGGGAAUCGACCCCCUCGGUGUCGUAGCCAACGCGUUAAGUGUUCCGCCUGGGGGGUACGCACGCAAGUGUGAAACUCAAAGGAAUUGACGG